GAGUACAGCGGCGGACGGGUGAGUAAUACCUAGGUAAUCUACCUCAUUGUGGGGAAUAACUACUCGAAAGGGUAGCUAAUACCGCAUACGGUUUCAGAACGGUAGUUCUGAAAAGAAAGGGGGGUCGUAAGAUCUCUCGCAGUGAGAUGAGCCUGGGCCCGAUUAGCUAGUUGGUGAGGUAAUGGCUCACCAAGGCGACGAUCGGUAGCUGAUUUGAGAGAAUGAUCAGCCACACUGGAACUGACACACGGUCCAGACUCCUACGGGAGGCAGCAGUGGGGAAUAUUGCACAAUGGAGGAAACUCUGAUGCAGCGACGCCGCGUGGGUGAUGAAGGCCUUCGGGUUGUAAAGCCCUGUCGGCUGGGAACAAGGUAGACGUGCUCAUACCACGUUUGCUUGAGUGUACCAGCAAAGGAAGCACCGGCUAACCCUGUGCCAGCAGCCGCGGUAAUACAGGGGGUGCUAGCGUUGUUCGGAAUUACUGGGCGUAAAGGGCGCGUAGGCGGUCUUGCAAGUCAGGAGUGAAAUCCCGGAGCUUAACUUCGGAAUUGCUUUUGAAACUGCAAGGCUAGAGUGUGUUAGAGGAUGGCGGAAUUCCUAGUGUAGGGGUGAAAUUCGUAGAUAUUAGGAAGAACACCGGUGGCGAAGGCGGCCAUCUGGGACACAACUGACGCUGAGGCGCGAAAGCGUGGGGAUCGAACAGGAUUAGAUACCCUGGUAGUCCACGCCGUAAACGAUGGAUACUCGCCGUAGCUGGUAAUCAAUCCGGCUGUGGCUUAGCUAACGCGUUAAGUAUCUCGCCUGGGAAGUACGGUCGCAAGAUUAAAACUCAAAGGAAUUGACGGGGACCCACACAAGCGGUGGAUUAUGUGGUUUAAUUCGAAGCAACGCGCAAAACCUUACCUGGCCUUGACAUGCCUCUGACUGGUCGUAGAAAUACGCCUUCUCUUCGGAGCAGAGGACACAGGUGCUGCAUGGCUGUCGUCAGCUCGUGUCGUGAGAUGUUUGGUUAAGUCCAGCAACGAGCGCAACCCUUUGUCUUUAGUUGCCAUCAUUA
Molecule: ribosomal RNA, 1058 nt
Filed under: uncultured bacterium
Lineage: Bacteria
Description: bacterial SSU rRNA
Rfam family: Bacterial small subunit ribosomal RNA
Source: RNAcentral